This is an RNA transcript of Gopherus flavomarginatus (Mexican gopher tortoise), 2392 nucleotides long. It is a transcript of the gene named acylaminoacyl-peptide hydrolase, with no coding region annotated. The record is from RefSeq and is a predicted model, not a curated record. The transcript has 22 exons. NCBI's taxonomy places the organism in Eukaryota, Metazoa, Chordata, Testudines, Testudinidae.
UUGGGGCGGGGGCGGGGCCGGACCCUGGCCAGUAGAGGCCACGCCCCCCAGCCCGGAAGUGUCGCGUCAGGACCCCCAGCGUCCGAACUAGCGUCAGCGACAUGGAGUCACCGGUGCUGAGGAGCCCGGAAGAGAUAGCAGCGCUGUACCGCGAGCUCAGCCAGUGCCCCUCGCUUUGCAGUGCCUGCAUCGGGCCCGAGGUCACCACUCAGUACGGGGGCAAAUACUGCAAUGUCUAUACAGAGUGGUCUCAGCAGGACCUGGAGAGAGCUGAGAGCGUGAAGUUCUGCCGCCAAUACCUCAUCUUCCAUGACAGCCAGGCCAUCGUGUACUCUGGCCCCUCGGGCACCUGCAGUGAGAUCAAGGGAGAGCUGCUGAGCAGAGAGUCUCCCAGUGGGGCACUUAAAGCCGUUUUGCGGAAAGCCAGCCCUGGCAAAGGCGAGGAGAAGCAGUUCCUUGAGAUCUGGGAUCAGAAUCGCAAGGUGAAGAGCAUUAACCUGACAGUGCUGGACAAGCAUGGCAAUGUCUAUGAAGAUGAUCAGUUUGGCUGCUUGUCCUGGUCGCACUCGGAGACUCACCUGCUUUACGUGGCCGAGAGGAAACGGCCCAAGGCCGAGUCCUUCUUCCAGAGCAGAGACCUGGAGCUGAGCAGCGGCUGUGCUGAUGAGAGACGCGACAAGGCUGUCAAGGGGGAGCAGUUCGUGUACCACGACGACUGGGGCGAGGCGCUGGUGGGCAAGAGCAUCCCGGCCCUAUGUGUGCUGGACAUGGAGAGUGGCAAUGUCUCGGUGCUGGAGGGUGUCCCGGAGCACAUUUCCCCUGGGCAGGCUUUCUGGUCCCCUGGUGACACAGGUGUGGUGUUCAUAGGCUGGUGGCAUGAGCCCUUCCGCCUGGGCCUGCGGCACUGCACUAACCGCAGGUCAGCGCUGUUCUAUGUGGACUUGACGGGAGCAAGGUGUGAGCUGCUGUCAGAUGACACCAAAGCCGUGUGGUCCCCACGCCUGAGCCCUGACCAGUGCCGCAUCGUGUAUCUGGAGAGCGGCGUACUCGGGCCCCACCACCAGUGCAGCCGCCUCCGCAUGUAUGACUGGUACACGAAGGUCACCUCCACCGUGCUGGAUGUCGUGCCCCGGCACAGCCAGGGAACGUUCACAGGGAUCUAUUGCCCGGCACUGCCGGGCCUGUGCUGGGCAGCCGAUAGCCAGAGGGUCAUCCUGGACACCGCUCAGCGCAGCCAACAGGAGUUGCUUGUGGUGGAGAUGCUGGGUGGCAACGUGACCUCUCUAACGACGGGUGCCCCCCUGGGCAGCUGGUCUCUCCUCACCAUUGACCGGGAUCUCCUGGUGGCCAGGUUCUCAACCCCCAGCUGCCCCCCUACAUUGAAGGUGGCCUUCCUCCCCAGGGCUGGGCAGGAGGCCCAGGUGCACUGGGUGUGUCUGGAGGACGUGACCCCCAUCCCGGAGAUCAGCUGGGCGAUCCGGCCCCUGCAGCCGCCCCCCGACCAGGAGAACCCGAAGUACAAGGGUAUCGAUUUCGAAGCCAUCCUGCUACAGCCCAGCAAGGGGCUAGGGCCGAAGAAGCUGCCCCUAGUGGUCAUGCCCCAUGGAGGCCCACACUCUGUCUUCACGGCCAGCUGGAUGCUGUACCCUGCAGCGCUCUGCAGGAUCGGCUUCGCUGUGCUCCUGGUGAAUUACCGUGGUUCGUUGGGCUUUGGCCAGGAUAGCAUCGCCUCCCUACCUGGCCACGUAGGCUGCCAGGAUGUCAAAGACGUGCAGUACUGCGUGGAGCAGAUGCUGCAGGAGGAGCCCCUAGACUCAGCGCGGGUGGCACUAGUGGGUGGCUCACAUGGGGGCUUCCUUGCUUGCCACCUCAUCGGCCAGUACCCGGACACUUACCAGGCCUGUGUGGCAAGGAACCCAGUCGUCAACAUGGCCUCCAUGAUCAGCGGCACCGACAUCCCGGACUGGUGUCUGACUGAGGCUGGCUUCCCCUAUGCACCCAACAUCCUCCCAGAUGCUUCCCACUGGGCAGAGAUGCUCCAUAAGUCACCCAUGCAGUACGUCGCCCAGUGCUGGCUGUGGGACCUAGGUCUCUGCACUGCUCUCCCUACAGGUUCGGGCACCUGUGCUCCUGAUGCUGGGAGAAGAGGAUAGGCGUGUUCCCCCCAAGCAGGGGCUGGAGUACUACCGUGCUCUCAAGGGCAGGGGCAUUCCUACCCGGCUGCUACUGUACCCCAGGAACAGCCAUGCACUCUCUGGCGUCGAGGCUGAGGCCGACGGCUUUAUGAACAUGGCGCUCUGGCUGCUCCAGCACCUGCAGUGCUGAUAGGUGCUGUGCUCCGCAUCUCCCUGAGCCCUGUAACUUGUUUCCAAUAAACCCACGGCUCAUCUUU